Molecule: ribosomal RNA, 253 nt
Filed under: uncultured bacterium
Lineage: Bacteria
Description: partial 16S ribosomal RNA
Rfam family: Bacterial small subunit ribosomal RNA
Source: RNAcentral
GACGAACCGUGCGAACGUUGUUCGGAAUCACUGGGCUUAAAGGGCGCGUAGGCGGCUUGCCAAGUCAGGGGUGAAAUCUUUCGGCUUAACCGGAAAAGUGCCCUUGAUACUGGUAGGCUCGAGGGAGGCAGGGGCAUGUGGAACUUCUGGUGGAGCGGUGAAAUGCGUUGAUAUCAGAAGGAACGCCGGUGGCGAAAGCGACGUGCUGGACCUCUUCUGACGCUGAGGCGCGAAAGCUAGGGGAGCAAACGGG